AAGGAUUUAAGUUAAAAUAAACUAACAUCCUUCAAAGAUGAAAAUAGAGAAUUUUCUCUAAGCCUUA
Molecule: transfer RNA, 67 nt
Filed under: Palaestes freyreissi
Lineage: Eukaryota; Metazoa; Arthropoda; Insecta; Coleoptera; Cucujidae
Description: tRNA-Trp
Source: RNAcentral